Zonotrichia albicollis (white-throated sparrow) is the source of this 791-nucleotide non-coding RNA. The record is from RefSeq and is a predicted model, not a curated record. Lineage: Eukaryota; Metazoa; Chordata; Aves; Passeriformes; Passerellidae.
UGACACAGGAGCCCAGGGAAGGCACAGCUGGGUUAUCAUCCCCUCUGUCCCCCUCUUUUGGGUUUGGGGAGAGGGCUGACACAGCUGGAGUGUGGCACAAGGGAAGGUGUAAGGAAAGGUGUAAGGUGUACCUGGGAUGUGGCACAAAGGAAAGGUGUAAGGAAAGGUGUAAGGUGUACCUGGGAUGUGGCACAAGGAAAGGUGUAAGGUGUACCUGGGAUGUGGCACAAGGAAAGGUGUAAGGAAGGGUGUAAGGUGUACCCUGAAUGUGGCACAAAGGAAAGGUGUAAGGUGUACCUGGGAUGUGGCACAAGGGAAGGUGUAAGGAAAGGUGUAAGGUGUACCUGGGAUGUGGCACAAGGAAAGGUGUAAGGGAAGGUGUAAGGAAAGGUGUAAGGUGUACCUGGAGUGUGGCACAAGGAAAGGUGUAAGGAAAGGUGUAAGGAAAGGUGUAAGGUGUACCUGGGAUGUGGCACAAGGAAAGGUGUAAGGUGUACCUGGGAUGUGGCACAAGGAAAGGUGUAAGGAAGGGUGUAAGGUGUACCCUGAAUGUGGCACAAAGGAAAGGUGUAAGGUGUACCUGGGAUGUGGCACAAGGGAAGGUGUAAGGAAAGGUGUAAGGUGUACCUGGGAUGUGGCACAAGGAAAGGUGUAAGGGAAGGUGUAAGGAAAGGUGUAAGGUGUACCUGGAGUGUGGCACAAGGAAAGGUGUAAGGUGUACCCUGAAUGUGGCACAAGGGAAAGGUGUAAGGUGUGUGUCCAUCUGCUCCAGGGGACACCCAACUGUCCCA